GUGUCACAAUUCUGGGCUGCCCACACCACAAUGCUGCCUAAGAGUGAAGAAGCAAAUGCAGAGGGCUGCAGAAGUGUGCAAAAGGACACUAAAGCCCACCAGGGAGGACGAAGGCUCCAGAAAAGCAGACAACAGGAAGGGCGAGGGAAGACAAAACAGUAUGUGAACACUUAUCAGGUGUGAGCCAGCUGCCGGCUUUGUCCAAUUAGUUUUCUUGUUUUUGAUUUUUUGAGACAAGGUCUCACUAGGUAGCUCUGGCUACUUUGGAUUUUACUUUGUAGCCCAGGCUGUCACCUGCCUCCGUGGCUAGGGACUAAGAGUGUGCACGAGCAGGCUCUGCUCUUGCUCAGUUGUGAGCCAUUUUUCACAUUUGCAGCAUGGCUUGUGAGGAACUUGCUGUGUGGACCAGGCUGGUCUUGCAACCUCCUCCUGCCUUCCAAGUGCUGGGGUUGCAGGCUGGUACUUACUGCCGGGUUUUGUUUUGUUUUUAAAAAACCCUCUGGUGCUUAAGUGGCUGGAGAGGAUGCUGUGGAAGUCAUUAGCAGCCUCCUGUAAUGGGAAGACAGCUACAGUUGGCUAGGUCAGCUGGAGGUGGUGGGGCUGUGAAACCUGAAUACCUUGCUAGUUCCUUAGGCAACAUUUGAGCUCUGAACACUUCCCAGGGAAGCAUGCUUUUGGUGGCAGGGAUGGGAGGUGGUGUGUGUGUGUGGGGGACUUCAGUUGCCAUUCCUGGCUCUCACUCCAGCCACUUCAAUCACAGGAGAAACUAAGAGACCAGUAGUAAGAACCAGGCAGCUUUAGCCUUUAAAAAAAGCAUUGUGUCAAUCAUUUCCCAAGGGACUCCCUCCAAGGUGAAGGGGCUGCUUCUGCAGGUUCCUGUGCAAUGGGUAGUUCUGCCUCUCGCGCCGGCUAUGUAUGCUGAAGAUAACUUAUCACAAGAACAAGAACAAUAAGUAGUCACAUCAGCCACAAAACUGCCAAGUCCUCGUCUGUCACAUCAGACAUGGGCAAGCUUGAUGCAGAUGCUCAGCCCCGCCCUUAGACAACACUGGAUUGCAAGCAGCAGUGGAUGGAGAUGGCUGGGAUUACAGGCGUGCAUCACCACACCCGACUCUUGUAAAGCCUUUUGAGAAGCCAAGUUUCUGCAAAGUGCUUGCUUUGCAAUCCUCUCUGUAACUCCGCCCUUCGAGAAAUCCAGCCACAUACUCCGAUUUCGGGGUGAACACACAGGACAAAAUGCUUUUCACGUAGCAAGCAGGUGAACUCAGCCAGUAACAAACUCAAACAGGCAUGUGCCACCAAGCCCGGUUUUGGAACUUGAAGAGUAUGGACUUGAAGUAGCCUCAAUUGCCAAACCCAGAGGGACUGAGUGCACUUGGGUACCUGCAGCCACUGUUCACUCUGCCCAGGAAGACCAAAUAGCCAGGAUGCAAUUUCGCCAUCAGCUGUUUCCCAGGCCCUAAAAUAUCAGCCAAGCUUGAAGAAAGCCACCGAGGCGAAGAUAAGGCCCUCUUGUGUCCACAGGCUUCAACAUUCAAAAGCAAGUCAGGCCACCCAGACCCAUGGGCUCUGGGCCUCACCCAUCCCCAUAGCAACCUCCUCUCACUGGCAAAUGCCAAGCCUGAGAUGGCUGGGCCAUGCAAUGCCAGCAAGAACACACAGGAUCCCAAGUGGCAGCCUUCUCUUCUGUCUCCCCUCCCCCACCUGAGCCUGGAACUGUUGGCUGUGGGAAGACAUAGCCAGUGCUGAAGGAAGGGGCCCUCUUACACACAGGAGGUCCCACCUCUCAGUUAUGACCAAUACUCAGGUCCACUCCAACGGAAGAGAGUUCAUGCCUGCCUUUCCUUGAGGAUCGAAAGUGUUAGCUUUGUUUAAAGAGCAAGGGGAUGGAUUUGAGAGUAACAGAAGGACUGGCCAGCAGGUCCGGGGCAACUCUCAGAUUCUAAUCUGUCAGCUUCUAUCAAGUGGGCAGCAUUCACAGCUACAGUGAACCCCCUCACCAGCCAGCAGUUCGCAAAGGGUAGUCCCUAGAGCCUGCCUCCCUCCUAGACCUGCUGGAAACAGCCAGGGUGGGGGUUACUUUUGUUUAAAUACUACACAAGAAGGAUGGCAGGGAGAGCUCCCUCUCCCCUUUCUGAAAAACAUCGAGGGAGGUAGGCGUGGGACUUCCUGGGCUGACGGUCUGUGUUUGUGGGAGGUGACUUUGUGUCUCUGAAAGGAGCAAGGCUGUUUCCCCCACCGGUCUCAGACACAGGGAGUGGGGCCCUGGCACUCUAACCAACUCAACCACAAAGCCACAGGAAGUCCUCCUGGACUGCUGGCCAGAGCCAGUAGAGGCCGGCUGGGUGGGGGUGGGGGUGGGGGGUUGGGGGGCGGGGGAAGACCGAGAGGCAGGCCCCCUCCCUGGCUGGGCAGCUCCACAUUGAAUGAUCAAGGGUAGGAAGAGCAAAGCGCUCAAGUUGGAACCUGCAUCUGGCUCCCAAAGGAUGGUCUCUAAGAGCUACACAGAGGAGGAUGCCCUGGAUCUUCUGCCUCUGACCUCAAGUGCUGAGGUUGCCUCCAUGCAGCGGAGUACUGCAGCUCAAGAACUACUGGGAGUUAACACCCAAGCUAAGCUUCGUGAGGCUUUUCUGUGUGUCUGGCCGCCUGAGAACACAGCCGACCUGCGUGGUGACCUUGACCUGACCAGAGCUCUGUCUCAGAUGGCUUCCAUAGUCAUGGUCAGUCAGAGAAGAGGAAACAGGCCCAGAGAGCGCACACCUCGCUAAGGUGUCCAGGGAUUAGAUGUGCACACUCCUGCUGGCCUACAUAUCCUGUGUGGCCCUGAAGCUCUCAUCCCACCCACAGAAGUGAAGAUGGUCCCAGAGGCGGGAGGUGACCCUUCUUGUUCAGCUUUCAAACAGGGGCAUGCGCAUGAGCAGUGUUGGCCAGUGGCACUUACAGAGCCACUUGGCUGAAUCUCCUCACCCAUCACGACAUGUUUUGAGCGCUAUACAGCAGACAAGGUUUCCAAAGUGCUGUGUCAGCCGGGCGUGGUGGCGCACGCCUUUAAUCCCAGUACUUGGGAAGCAGAGGCAGGCGGAUUUCUGAGUUCGAGGCCAGCCUGGUCUACAAAGUGAGCUCCAGGACAGCCAGGGCUACACAGAGAAACCCUGUCUCAAAAAAAAAAACAAAAAACAAAAAAAAACAAAAAAAAACAAAAAACAAAAAACAAAAAAACAAACAAAAAACCAAAGUGCUGUGUCUUACCUAUCAUGCAUCCCGACCCAUCACACAAUCUCUUCCUUCAUGUUUUAGGUCUCUUAGUUUGAGGACAAGCAUUCACACAUCUGUCCUCUGACCUAUACCCUACCUUACGCAAUGAAUUCACUUGAGCUAUUUUCACAAUGGACCUUCUACUAGAUAACACCAACUUCCUUUCUAUGGGUGUGUGAGAAGCCCAGUGUCACACAGCCCAAGCUUGCCUCACAUCAAGAAAGACCUUGAACUAUUGCUUCUCCUGCCCCCACCACUGAGAUCCCAGGCUAGUGCCACCAUGAUUCCUUUAUAUGGGCUUGGGAACUGAACCCUGGGUUAUCAGGGUAGGCAAGUGUGUUAUCAAAUGAGCUGUAUCCCUCAAACUUCAUCUCCCAUCUUUUUAUAUGAGAACACUGGGCCUAGAAGUUAAAUUGCUCCUCUGAGGUAAUACCACAAAUAAAGUAUUGAACCUGA
Molecule: long non-coding RNA, 3711 nt
Organism: Mus musculus (house mouse)
Lineage: Eukaryota; Metazoa; Chordata; Mammalia; Rodentia; Muridae
Product: predicted gene 28809
Exons: 9
Source: RefSeq, a predicted model, not a curated record